RNAcentral lists this ribosomal RNA (429 nucleotides) under Chloroflexota bacterium. RNAcentral describes it as "Chloroflexi bacterium partial 16S ribosomal RNA". It matches the Rfam family "Bacterial small subunit ribosomal RNA", at positions 355 to 776 of the family's 1533-position model. Lineage: Bacteria; Bacillati; Chloroflexota. The record is from RNAcentral.
UGGGGAAUAUUGCACAAUGGGCGCAAGCCUGAUGCAGCCAUGCCGCGUGUAUGAAGAAGGCCUUCGGGUUGUAAAGUACUUUCAGCGGGGAGGAAGGGAGUAAAGUUAAUACCUUGGCUCAUUGACGUUACCCGCAGAAGAAGCACCGGCUAACUCCGUGCCAGCAGCCGCGGUAAUACGGAGGGUGCAAGCGUUAAUCGGAAUUACUGGGCGUAAAGCGCACGCAGGCGGUUUGUUAAGUCAGAUGUGAAAUCCCCGGGCUCAACCUGGGAACUGCAUCUGAUACUGGCCAGCUUGAGUCUCGUAGAGGGGGGUAGAAUUCCAGGUGUAGCGGUGAAAUGCGUAGAGAUCUGGAGGAAUACCGGUGGCGAAGGCGGCCCCCUGGACGAAGACUGACGCUCAGGUGCGAAAGCGUGGGGAGCAAACAGG